GCCGGGUGUGGUGGCACACGCCUGUAAUCCCAGCAACUCAGGAGGCUGAGGCAGGAGAAUUGCUUGAACCCAGGAGGCAGAGGUUGCAGUGAGCCAAGAUUGUGCCACUGCACUCCAGCCUGGGUGACAGAGCGAGACUCCGUCUCAA
This 148-nucleotide non-coding RNA is filed under the name Gorilla gorilla gorilla (western lowland gorilla). Lineage: Eukaryota; Metazoa; Chordata; Mammalia; Primates; Hominidae. The record is from Rfam by way of RNAcentral.